GUUAUUAAUUGUAAUAGACAAAUAUAAAGCCCGUUACAUCUAAAUAACUCUUUAGGGUUAAAGAUAUGUUCCCAGGCCACUUCCCAGCCGCAUUUCUUCCUCACUCCUCUUCUCUUUCUCUCUCCUCAAAUCACUCUCUCUUUCUGCAUUGUUCUUUAAUUAGGACCAAAACCCUACCAUUCUACUUGGAUCUCAAAUUCACCCUUCAAUCUCUCUUUUCAAUCGCAAUCAAAAACCCUAAAAUCAUCCCCAAAUUGUCGUUCAAUUUGCUGUGUUAUGGCCCCUGAUUUGGCUUCCAAAGCGGCGACGGAGGAUGAGACUGAUUUGGGCAUUUUUCAACGACCCGAUUCAUUUGGAAGGUUUGGGAAAUUUUGGGGAAAGUAUGUGCCGAAAACCCUAAUGCAUGCUCUUACUGAACUUGAAUCCGCUUUCCGCGCUCUAUCCAGUGAUGAUGAAUUUUAGAAAGAGCUGGAUGGGAUACUGAGGGACUAUGUGGGGGAGAGAAACUCCUCUCUACUUUGCAGAACGCCUUACUGAGCAUUACAUAAUUAUGCUUUGACAUAGUAUGAAUUGAGUAGAAUGAUUUUGGAGUCUUCGCGGAGAUUCUAUAUCAGAAGUUUGGGGACAGGGUUAAGCGCUGGAUAACACUAAACGAGCCCCAUUCAGUUGCAUCUCAAGGCUAUGACAUAGCCAUAUUCGCUCCAGGGCGAUGCUCCAUCCUCCUCCACUUGUUUUGCAGGGCAGGGAACUCUGCUUCUGAGCCUUAUAUUGUUGCUCAUCACCUGCUUCUUGCUCAUGCUAAUGCAGUCGACAUUUACAGGAGAAAGUACCAGAGAAAACAACGCGGAUCAAUUGGAGCAGCGUUAGAUGUGAUGUGGUAUGAGCCUGAAACCAACACAACAGAAAAUAUUGAAGCAGCUCAAAGAGCGAGCACAAGAUUCUCAACUUGGCUGCUCCAAAUUGUUUACAGUUUAUGGGGUGCCUCUAGGACAAGUUACGGUACAACCAUGUGCUCCUAGUGCACCAGUGCAAGCACCUGGGCCGCCUCUUUUGAAUACCUCAACAUUAAUUUCAGGAGCAACGCCUACUGAUAUUAAUGGUGGUGCUCCAACAGCAUCACAUCCUGGGUUCCAGCGUGCUCCUGUUGGCGGGAGCUUUGGAGGGACAAAUAUGUAUGUCGUCUCUAUCUUUCCUUGGGCUGGUGGAAAUGUUUCUUAUCCGGCAAUAUCAAGUGCUUACGGAUUCACUUAUGGUCAAGCCCGGAACAACAACCUUCAAUCUAACUGCAAUGGUACUUUGUAUUGGUUAGACUGUUUUUUUUUCCUUUUUCACAUGAAGCUUGCUAUUUUCUUAGAUUUUCUGCACUAAGGUGUCUGAGCAGUGUGAGCACAACCCAGAAGUUGAUACUAUUGCCGUUGUUGAUGAGCAUGAAUUUCACUUGAAACCUGAUAAUAAAAGUGAUGUUUUGAAUAGUACCCCACAGAAGGAUAUUCUACUCCGAUUGGAAAAGCUAUGUGAUAAUUAUUUUUUUCCAUUAAAAACAAGAUGUACUAAGGAAGCAGAAGAUUUGAGCAUAUGUGGAAAUGAGACUCCGAGAACUGUUAUUCACGAAAAGCUUGAUGAAACAAAUAAUUGGCAGCAUACUUUUUUCUUGUACUUUUGACCUUAUUGUCUUUAUUUAAGAAGGCUCUAACUUAUUUUCUUAAAUUUUCCUUUAAUCUAUGUAGCUAUGUCGGUUGCUUCAAUCAAGAAGAAUUUUAUUUGAAAUCCAAUUUGGUGUAUAUGUUAUGUUUGAUAAUAUGUUUAUGGCAUGAAAUAUUUGGAUUUGUUAUAAAUUAUUAUAAUAAUUUGGGUGGUAAAUGGAAAGAAGAAU
This is a long non-coding RNA of Chenopodium quinoa (quinoa), 1873 nucleotides long. RefSeq lists it as uncharacterized. NCBI's taxonomy places the organism in Eukaryota, Viridiplantae, Streptophyta, Magnoliopsida, Caryophyllales, Amaranthaceae. The transcript is spliced from 5 exons. The record is from RefSeq and is a predicted model, not a curated record.